RNAcentral lists this transfer RNA (71 nucleotides) under Camelus bactrianus (Bactrian camel). It matches the Rfam family "tRNA". From Rfam's summary of the family: Transfer RNA (tRNA) molecules are approximately 80 nucleotides in length. Lineage: Eukaryota; Metazoa; Chordata; Mammalia; Artiodactyla; Camelidae. The record is from Rfam by way of RNAcentral. RNAcentral also lists the same sequence under 2 other names.
GAGGGUAUAGCUCAGUGGUAGAGCACAUGCUUAGCAUGCACAAGGUCCUGGUUCAAUCCCCAGUACUUCCA